Long non-coding RNA from Drosophila miranda, 1172 nucleotides. RefSeq lists it as uncharacterized. The record is from RefSeq and is a predicted model, not a curated record. The transcript is spliced from 4 exons. NCBI's taxonomy places the organism in Eukaryota, Metazoa, Arthropoda, Insecta, Diptera, Drosophilidae.
UAAAUGUCAUGUGUGUCAUUCUAGUACAGAUUAUACAUGUACAAAAUUUCAAAUUUCUAUGAGGCUUGCUCAUAAAAAAUCGACUGUUUUCCUUGCUGAGUUGAAGGCAAUAUGGCUAAACAAAUCUUGUCCGAUUCUUACGCGUAUUUGCACAAUUGCUUUAUGCGAUUGUAUUACAAAAUUAUUGGAUCGAUACUCUUUGAACGCCUACUGAGUUGGCUUAAAAUUUUUCUUACCUAUUUUCUGAUUUGUUGUACAAGCGUCUGGAGCACUCUUAAGCGAUGGCAAAAUUAUUUUGGAUAUUUCUGUUGUUUGUAAAUUAAUCAGUAGAGGAAUGCAAAUCCUCUUGGGCACUGACAUGAUUCCUGACAGUUCUAUACGCGUCUGCAGUCCUCUGAUGCUAUCAUGCUCUACCGCCUUGGCUUAUGUACCACUGGACUGCCUUCUGAUCCAGGCGUGUGGUGCGUCGCUACCUUUACCAGAGCGACCUCGCUGUCUGUCAGAAAAUCUACGGGAUGCCGGAUACCGGUCAAGUCGUCUUAUUUAACGGUUGGCACAAGGCAAGCAGGGUCGUGUGCGACGACUGUCGGAUGAAUCGCGUGGGUAAAUUGAUUGACCAGGCAAAAGUAUGCCUGGAUGUGGUGCUACUGUCUACCGCCAAUGUCAAGUACAUUGACCGCAUAUUGGCGGCACAUAUUCGGGGUGUCACUGUGCGCGUUCUCGCCAGCUACAAAAUGCUCGCGGCUAAUGGGCCAGCGGUGAAGCUACUCUGCGCCUUGAGUGUGCAGGUGCGCUGCUACUCAAUCGGAGUAAUAUUCGGGUACAAUUUUGCUAUAAUAGACAGUGUAAAGCGAGCCCUGGAGAUAGAGGCCAAGCAGGAUACGGUCCACACGUGUCUUUGGCGACUAAGGGGUAACAUGAAAGGGUGUCUAAACUGGAUCCUACUGGCCGCGUUGCAGAAAAGUGAUUAUAGGAAUGACAAUCGCCACUACCAAAAAUUGUUUGAUGAAUGGAACUUCUUAUAUCCUGUCACCCCGUCCUACUUCAUAGCAUAUAAUUUGCCUUCACCGCAGCAUAAAGCAUAGAUCAAAGGGUUAGUUAGUUACGUUUUCACCUCCGCUUCAACCGGCUGACCUACCGCGUGAAUAUCCACAAACACGAACCAUAUAUAU